Molecule: ribosomal RNA, 216 nt
Filed under: Glomeromycotina sp.
Lineage: Eukaryota; Fungi; Glomeromycota
Description: partial small subunit ribosomal RNA
Rfam family: Eukaryotic small subunit ribosomal RNA (bases 40-216)
Source: RNAcentral
GGGUCAGUAGGUUGGUCGUGCCACCGGUACGUACCGGUCUCACUGAUUCCUCCUUCCUGAAGAGCCGUAAUGCCAUUAAUUUGGUGUUGCGGGGAAACAGGACUGUUACUUUGAAAAAAUUAGAGUGUUUAAAGCAAGCUAACGCUUGAAUACAUUAGCAUGGAAUAAUGAAAUAGGACGAUCGAUCCUAUUUUGUUGGUUUCUAGGAUUGACGUA